Molecule: long non-coding RNA, 1831 nt
Filed under: Olea europaea subsp. europaea
Lineage: Eukaryota; Viridiplantae; Streptophyta; Magnoliopsida; Lamiales; Oleaceae
Source: RNAcentral
UGAAUUCAUUUUCUUGAAAGAGACUCUCAACGAUAUUUGUUACAUAGUCAUAGCCCCCCUUUAUUGACCUCAACUAUAUCAGUGACUUUUACAUGACAUUAUUCAAUGUUUUUGCUUCUCCUUAUAUCUAUAAAAAGGCCAUAUAAAAGGGAUUAUAUAGAGAAAUAAAGAGAGAGGGAGUUUCAUCGUAAAAUGACUAUGCCUUUGUUCAAUAUCUUGAGCUGUUUUUCAGAGCAAUCCGAGAGGGGCAGUCGAUACAUAUGCGAUGGCGAUGUGUGUUAUUUGCGCGAUCCGAAGGCAACGAGCGCCAAGAAAAAAAACGAGCGAAAGCGAAGCGUUCGGAUUUCAUUUUCGCGGCUUUCAACAAGAAAUGAUUAAUUUGAUGAUCUUCUAAAUUUUCUUGUCAAUAAGGGCUUAGUUGAAUAAGCCGUUAGCACACACUGUUGAUAGAAUCUUAUUGAUAAUCUCUAGAGCAAAAAUCAGGGUCAGAAGGUGCAGUGGUAACACUAAUCCUUUGUAUGGUGAUUGCUGCAAUUGAUGUUGGGAUAUAAGAAAUUUGAUCUUUCAGAAUUAUUCUUUUUAUAUGCAUUUAUAUAUACUUUGUACAUGUAGACUAUAAAAAGUAGAGAUUAUCUAAUAUAGAAAGAGGAUUUUAUUCAAGUGGUAAGAGCAAAGGUUUUUUAGAUCAAUGAUCCAAGUUCGAGUUUCAUUUAAAAGAAGGGUGAAAUUCCAAAAAAAAAACAAGAAAAAAAGAGAUGAGAGAUUGAUAGAUUAAUUGAUAUUUUUGUUGAAAAAAGUUAACUGUUCGAAGGAGGAAAUUGUCUUCGUUCUUUCAUGAAAGCAAGAAAAUUAAAUUUGGAGGAGAUUUCAAUUUAGAGAUUGUUUGAUUUUAAUAAAUAUUUUAGCAGAUUUUAAUAAAAAUUGAUAAAUUGUAUGGUUGAAAAUUGAUAAAAAUUUUAUCUCAUGAAAUGUGUGAUAAACUUAAGUUUGAUUAGUUAAGGUUAAUAAAGUUUUACUUUUAUUGAACAAACACUUAUUUGUAGUUGCACGUUUUCAAGUUCAUACAUAUUUUAUUACAAUUCUAAAAAAUUUUCCUUCAAAAUUUAUUACCUUCAUUAAAAGUACAGGCUUCAAAUUAAUGACUACAUUAAAAUACUAUUUUUGGGGAUACUUUUACCCUCGAAAAACAAUCCAUGAUUCGCUAAUGUUUAUAAUUGAUCGAACCAAUUUUUAUUCACGUAUUUUCGUAAGAUCCACGAACAUUAUUCACUAACUCAUAAUUCAAUUUUUUUUUUUUUUUUUUGCCAGAAUAUGUUAGUUUACUUGGCGACGCUGCAUGAAGACCUAGGAUAAUAAUACAUUGGCUAGGGUGGAUGCUAGGGGUGGACAAAAUGUCUAAACCAGAGCCAAACCAAACCAAGCGGUUCAGUUCGGUUCGGUUCUAUCAUAAAAAUUAAUGGUUUUGGUUCUUUGAACCGAGAACCAUUUGAUUUUGGUUCAGUUCUAGUUCAAAAAUCAGAAUAAGAACCAAAUGUAAUAUUUAAUUUUAUAUAUAAUAAUUAGUGGAGACCCUAAUUUUAUAUUAAUUGAAGAAAGCCUAUUAAUUGAAUAUAGUUUAUUAAUCAAUUUUGGGUCAUUAAAGACAAACAACUCAUCAGUUGUCUACACUCUAAUUUUGUAUUCAAUUGAAUUAUUUCUCCUUCACUCCUUUUCAAAUUAUAUAACGUUGCAGCAUACUGGUACCACAUUUCAUUAAAUCAGUGGAGUGUCAUUUAAGACUAGAAAAUGAAAGUGGUCAGUUGCUUAAAAAGUCUCUAAACUCUUUUUUUAC